GGGCCGCACGCGCGCUACACUGACGGAGCCAGCGAGUACAUCCUUAACCGAGAGGUUUGGGUAAUCUUGUGAAACUCCGUCGUGCUGGGGAUAGAGCAUUGCAAUUAUUGCUCUUCAACGAGGAAUUCCUAGUAAGCGCAAGUCAUCAGCUUGCGUUGAUUACGUCCC
RNAcentral lists this ribosomal RNA (168 nucleotides) under Ruyongia chambardii. RNAcentral's name for it is "Wickerhamomyces chambardii partial 18S ribosomal RNA". It matches the Rfam family "Eukaryotic small subunit ribosomal RNA", at positions 1484 to 1653 of the family's 1831-position model. Lineage: Eukaryota; Fungi; Ascomycota; Saccharomycetes; Phaffomycetales; Wickerhamomycetaceae. The record is from RNAcentral.